This 254-nucleotide ribosomal RNA is filed under the name uncultured bacterium. Its description in RNAcentral is "partial 16S ribosomal RNA". It matches the Rfam family "Bacterial small subunit ribosomal RNA", at positions 524 to 776 of the family's 1533-position model. The record is from RNAcentral.
UACAGAGGGUGCGAGCGUUGUCCGGAAUCACUGGGCGUAAAGGGCGCGUAGGUGGCGCGACAAGUCAGUGGUGAAAGUUCGACGCUCAACGUCGAAUCGGCCACUGAUACUGUUGGGCUUGAGCACUGUAGAGGCUAAUGGAAUUCCGGGUGUAGCGGUGGAAUGCGUAGAGAUCCGGAAGAACACCGGUGGCGAAGGCGGUUAGCUGGGCAGUUGCUGACACUGGAGGCACGAAAGCGUGGGGAGCAAACAGG